AAAGUAAAGGCAUCUUUACUUUUUUAAAAGACCUUCUUUGAAGGUAUGCUUAAGGAGGGGCUUGCGACACAUUAGUUAGUUGGCAGGGUAAAGGCCUACCAAGACUAUGAUGUGUAGCUGGACUGAGAGGUUGAACAGCCACAUUGGGACUGAGACACGGCCCAAACUCCUACGGGAGGCAGCAGUAGGGAAUUUUCGGCAAUGGAGGAAACUCUGACCGAGCAACGCCGCGUGAACGAUGAAGUACCUCGGUAUGUAAAGUUCUUUUAUUAAGGAAGAAAAAAGAGUGGAAAAACUCCCUUGACGGUACUUAAUGAAUAAGCCCCGGCUAAUUAUGUGCCAGCAGCCGCGGUAAUACAUAAGGGGCGAGCGUUAUCCGGAAUUAUUGGGCGUAAAGGGUGCGUAGGCGGUUUAAUAAGUCUAUAGUUUAAUUUCAGUGCUUAACGCUGUUGUGCUAUAGAAACUGUUUUACUAGAGUGAGUUAGAGGCAAGCGGAAUUCCAUGUGUAGCGGUAAAAUGCGUAAAUAUAUGGAGGAACACCAGAGGCGUAGGCGGCUUGCUGGGACUUUACUGACGCUGAGGCACGAAAGCGUGGGGAGCAAACAGGAUUAGAUACCCUGGUAGUCCACGCCGUAAACGAUGAGUACUAAGUGUCGGGUAAAACCGGUACUGAAGUUAACACAUUUAAGUACUCCGCCUGAGUAGUACGUACGCAAGUAUGAAACUUAAGGAAUGACGGGACUCCGCACAAGCGGGGAUCCUGUUGUUUAAUUCGAAGAUACACGAAAAACCUUACCAGGUCUAGACAUUUUCUUGCGAAGUUAUAGAAAUAUAAUGGAGGUUAUCAGGAAAACAGGUGGUGCAUGGUUGUCGUCAGCUCGUGUCGUGAGAUGUUAGGUUAAGUUCUAAAACGAGCGCAACCCUUGUCGUUAAUUGCCAGCAUGUAAUGAUGGGGACUUUAACGAGACUGCCAAUGAAAAAUUGGAGGAAGGUGGGGAUUACGUCAAAUCAUCAUGCCCCUUAUGAUCUGGGCUACAAACGUGAUACAAUGGUUGAUACAAAGAGUAGCUGAAACGCGAGUUCUUAGCCAAUCUCACAAAAUCAAUCUCAGUUCGGAUUGAAGUCUGCAACUCGACUUCAUGAAGUUGGAAUCGCUAGUAAUCGCGAAUCAGCAUGUCGCGGUGAAUACGUUCGCGGGGUUUGUACACACCGCCCGUCAAA
This 1221-nucleotide ribosomal RNA is filed under the name Passion fruit proliferation phytoplasma. RNAcentral describes it as "bacterial SSU rRNA". It matches the Rfam family "Bacterial small subunit ribosomal RNA", at positions 179 to 1401 of the family's 1533-position model. The record is from RNAcentral. Lineage: Bacteria; Bacillati; Mycoplasmatota; Mollicutes; Acholeplasmatales; Acholeplasmataceae.